GAUGAAGAACGUAGCGAAAUGCGAUACGUAAUGUGAAUUGCAAAUUCAGUGAAUCAUCGAGUCUUUGAACGCACAUUGCGCCCCCUGGUAUUCCGGGGGGCAUGUCUGUCCGAGCGUCAUUGCUGCCCUCAAGCACGGCUUGUGUGUUGGGCCCCGUCCUCCGAUUCCGGGGGACGGGCCCGAAAGGCAGCGGCGGCACCGCGUCCGGUCCUCGAGCGUAUGGGGCUUUGUCACCCGCUCUGUAGGCCCGGCCGGCGCUUGCCGAUCAACCCAAAUUUUUAUCCAGGUUGACCUCGGAUCAGGUAGGGAUACCCGCUGAACUUAAGCAUAUCAAUAAGCGGAGGA
RNAcentral lists this unclassified non-coding RNA (345 nucleotides) under soil metagenome. RNAcentral's name for it is "partial contains 5.8S ribosomal RNA, internal transcribed spacer 2, and large subunit ribosomal RNA". The stretch from base 1 to 119 matches the Rfam family "5.8S ribosomal RNA", at positions 35 to 154 of the family's 154-position model. The record is from RNAcentral.